AUAAUAUCUGCUUUUUGGAGAGGAUCAAGUGUAGUAUCUGUUCAUAUCAGUUUAAUAUCCAAAUGGAAUUUAUGAACGGGGAGUCAGAAAAGGGGCUUGCUCCAUGUAACGACCCAGUAUUGCAGUGCAUCUGGGAACGGAGCACACAAA
This is a small nuclear RNA of Salmo trutta (river trout), 150 nucleotides long. Its record names the gene U2. It matches the Rfam family "U2 spliceosomal RNA". Rfam says of the family: U2 is a small nuclear RNA (snRNA) component of the spliceosome (involved in pre-mRNA splicing). The record is from Ensembl. NCBI's taxonomy places the organism in Eukaryota, Metazoa, Chordata, Actinopteri, Salmoniformes, Salmonidae.